UACGUAGGUGGCAAGCGUUGUCCGGAUUUACUGGGCGUAAAGAGCGCGCAGGCGGUCGUUCAAGUCGCGUGUGAAAGCCCCCGGCUCAACUGGGGAGGGUCACGCGAUACUGAUCGACUCGAAGGCAGGAGAGGGUAGUGGAAUUCCCGGUGUAGUGGUGAAAUGCGUAGAUACGCGGAGGAACACCAGUGGCGAAAGCGGCUCUCUGGGGGCCACCUGACGCUGAGGCGCGAAAGCGUGGGGAGCGAACCGG
Molecule: ribosomal RNA, 253 nt
Filed under: uncultured bacterium
Lineage: Bacteria
Description: partial 16S ribosomal RNA
Rfam family: Bacterial small subunit ribosomal RNA
Source: RNAcentral